UACCAGACCUGACUUAGCCUUUGCAGUCCAGCAUUUAAGUCAGUUCCUCUAGAAGCCUACAUCCUCUCAUAUGCUUGCUGCUUUGCAUACCCUAAAGUAUCUCAGAGGAACCUCUAACCUUGGCAUCUUUCUCAGCAACUCUCCUGACCUCUCCUUAUCUGCUUACUGUGAUAUUGACUGGGCAUCCUGCCCAGACACCAGAAGAUCUGUAUCUGGUUUUUGUGUUCUACUAGGUGACUCUCUUAUUGGUUGGAAGGCUAAGAAGCAGCCUGUAGUGUCCCUCUCUUCUGCUGAGGCUGAGUAUAGAACCAUCAGCAAGGUUGUGGGUGAGCUCACCUGGCUCAUUCGUUUACUGUAUGAUUUUGGUGUUGAUGUUACCUCUCCUGUCCCAGUUUAUUGUGAUAAUCAGGUAGCCCUUCACAUUGCCAACAAUCAUGUGUUUCAUGAACGGACCAAACACAUUGAGGUGGAUUGUCAUUUCAUCAGAGGCAAGCUUCAUGAAGGGCUUAUUACCUAGCACCAUGUCCCCACAACUUCUCAGCCUGCUGAUAUAUUUAAGUCAUUUCAUCAGAGACAAGCUUCAUGAAGGGCUUAUUACCUUGCACCAUAGCCCCAUAACUUCUCAGUCUGCUGAUGUAUUUACCAAGCCCCUUACUGGCAUUUUGCAUCACUCUAUCUUGCUCAAGUUGGGAGUUCAGUCACCCUCCAACUUGCAGGGGGGUGUUGGAGUUGUUGG
RNAcentral lists this long non-coding RNA (736 nucleotides) under Nicotiana benthamiana. RNAcentral describes it as "long non-coding RNA (NBEN_LNC035460)". Lineage: Eukaryota; Viridiplantae; Streptophyta; Magnoliopsida; Solanales; Solanaceae. The record is from RNAcentral.